CACUCGCGACGCCAAGAGCCAAACCGCCUCUUUCCCAAAAGGCCAAAACCGCCCACCUCCUCUCCUCUCGCCGCCGCCGCCGCCGCCGCCGUUGCCGCCGAUGGGCUCCGAGGAGGAGCCGUCGCAGAUGCGGAGGGCGCUGGUGGACGCGCUCGCGGGGGCCAUCUCCGGCGGCAUCUCCCGCACCGUCACCUCCCCCCUCGACGUCAUCAAAAUCCGCUUCCAGGUUCAAUUGGAGCCCACAACCACUUGGGGUGUACUUCGAAGGGAUGUCUAUGGCCCUUCCAAAUACACUGGACUUCUGCAAGCAAGUAAAGAUAUUCUCCGAGAGGAAGGUUUGCCGGGAUUUUGGAGAGGAAAUGUUCCAGCCCUGUUAAUGUAUAUGCCAUAUACAGCUAUACAAUUUACCGUUCUACACAAGCUCAAAACAUUUGCUUCUGGUUCAUCCAAAACAGAGGAUCAUUUGCACUUGAGUCCUUACCUCUCUUAUGUAAGUGGGGCUAUAGCAGGAUGUGCCGCAACUGUAGGAUCAUACCCAUUUGACCUUCUCAGGACUAUUCUUGCAUCACAGGGUGAGCCGAAGGUUUACCCUGACAUGAGGUCUGCAUUUAUUGAUAUAAUUCAAACCCGUGGUGUCCGAGGGCUUUAUGCCGGUCUAACUCCAACUCUUGUUGAAAUCAUACCAUAUGCUGGCUUGCAGUUUGGUUCAUAUGAUACGUUCAAACGGUCAAUGAUGGCAUGGAAUAGAUACCGAUAUUCACAUCUUCACUCAGGAAGUGAGAAUGAUUCAGUAUCAAGCUUUCAGUUAUUCCUUUGUGGAUUUGCAGCUGGAACAUUUUCAAAAGCUGCCUGUCACCCACUUGAUGUUGUGAAGAAAAGAUUUCAGAUUGAAGGAUUAAAACGGCAUCCAAGAUAUGGGGCACGAAUUGAGAGCAGCACAUACAAGGGCAUGUACCAUGCCCUAAAAGAGAUUGUUGCAAAGGAGGGGUAUGGGGGCCUUUAUAAAGGACUUUUUCCAUCUUUGGUGAAAUCGGCUCCUGCUGGUGCUGUGACAUUUGUGGCAUAUGAAUACAUCUCAGACUGGUUAGAGUCAAUACUGAUGUGACAAAUCGCCAUGCAGUGUUAUUCAUUUUCCUCCCUGUGUUGUGUUGUAUUGUCCUUAUUCUCUCGCUUUGCUGUUGCACACUUCAAUUAGUUUAAUCGAUUCAUUUGUGGAAGAGGUUGCCGUUCCUUUAGAUCUUGCAGUCCAUACAAGAUUUGAGGAGCCUACAAAACCUGCUGGAUGAGUAAUGCUCGAUAGGGAGCAAAGCUGGAGUUGAAUGAGUUCUUGGAUGAAUGAGGAGCCAUUGAGAUACCGUGAUAAGAGAACAGUGUCCACACUCUGAUCAUCUGUGAGGAUUUAAUUGUUUUGUCAUGACUGCAAGGUCGGAAGUUUCAAGUGCAUACAAUUCCUUAAGAGCUGAUACUUGUAAACUCUCGCGUAGAAUUAGCUACUGUCAUUUCUCUCCUUUUUUGCCCCAUUAACUAGCGCCUUGCAUUCGUUGAGAUGUAAAGGUUAGGCUGAGUAAAACUAAGGAAACUGUAGAGGCUGUGGCGCAUGAUAAAGGCCUGGAACGGCAGGCAUUUUUGUUAAGAUGAGAUUAUCUCACUCCUAUAUGUCCUUAAGUCACAAAAUGCAAUCAAUGUGAACUGUAAAGUAUUACAUGGUUAGUAGCUGAUCUGCCUUUAUCAUUCAUGCAAACUGUAACUCUCAAACUGGAAGUCGUGCUGGCUUCGUGAUGAGUACCAUUCCCUGCUGCUUUUACUGUGAGCAUAUGUU
Molecule: RNA transcript, 1819 nt
Organism: Oryza brachyantha (malo sina)
Lineage: Eukaryota; Viridiplantae; Streptophyta; Magnoliopsida; Poales; Poaceae
Gene name: mitochondrial thiamine diphosphate carrier 2
Exons: 8
Source: RefSeq, a predicted model, not a curated record